Molecule: ribosomal RNA, 505 nt
Filed under: uncultured bacterium
Lineage: Bacteria
Description: partial 16S ribosomal RNA
Rfam family: Bacterial small subunit ribosomal RNA
Source: RNAcentral
AUUGAACGCUGGCGGCAGGCUUAACACAUGCAAGUCGAGCGGUAACAGAGAGAAGCUUGCUUCUCUGCUGACGAGCGGCGGACGGGUGAGUAAUGCCUAGGAAUCUGCCUAGUAGUGGGGGAUAACUUGCCGAAAGGUAAGCUAAUACCGCAUACGUCCUACGGGAGAAAGGAGGGGACCUUCGGGCCUUUCGCUAUUAGAUGAGCCUAGGUCGGAUUAGUUAGUUGGUGAGGUAAUGGCUCACCUAGACCGCGAUCCGUAACUGGUCUGAGAGGAUGAUCAGUCACACUGGAACUGAGACACUGUCCAGACUCCUACGGAGGCAGCAGUGGGGAAUAUUGGACAAUGGGGGGAACCCUGAUCCAGCCAUGCCGCGUGUGUGAAGAAGGUCUUAGGAUUGUAAAGCACUUUAAGUUGGGAGGAAGAGCAGUUAACUAAUAUUUGACUGUUUUGACGUUACCGACAGAAUAAGCACCGGCUAACUUCGUGCCAGCCGCCGCGGUAA